AGUGAACGCUGGCGGUAGGCCUAACACAUGCAAGUCGAACGGCAGCACAGUAAGAGCUUGCUCUUACGGGUGGCGAGUGGCGGACGGGUGAGGAAUACAUCGGAAUCUACUUUUUCGUGGGGGAUAACGUAGGGAAACUUACGCUAAUACCGCAUACGACCUACGGGUGAAAGCAGGGGAUCUUCGGACCUUGCGCGAUUGAAUGAGCCGAUGUCGGAUUAGCUAGUUGGCGGGGUAAAGGCCCACCAAGGCGACGAUCCGUAGCUGGUCUGAGAGGAUGAUUCGACACCAUGGAACUGAGACAAGGUUCAGACCCCUAAGGGAGGGAGCAGUGGGGAAUAUUGGACAAAGGGCGCAAGCCUGAUCCAGCCAUACCGCGUGGGUGAAGAAGGCCUUCGGGUUGUAAAGCCCUUUUGUUGGGAAAGAAAAGCAGCAGGUUAAUACCCCGCUGUUCUGACGGUACCCAAAGAAUAAGCACCGGCUAACUUCGUG
RNAcentral lists this ribosomal RNA (492 nucleotides) under uncultured bacterium. RNAcentral describes it as "partial 16S ribosomal RNA". It matches the Rfam family "Bacterial small subunit ribosomal RNA", at positions 29 to 507 of the family's 1533-position model. The record is from RNAcentral.